This 1528-nucleotide ribosomal RNA is filed under the name Klebsiella pneumoniae. RNAcentral describes it as "bacterial SSU rRNA". It matches the Rfam family "Bacterial small subunit ribosomal RNA". Lineage: Bacteria; Pseudomonadati; Pseudomonadota; Gammaproteobacteria; Enterobacterales; Enterobacteriaceae. The record is from RNAcentral.
AGAGUUUGAUCAUGGCUCAGAUUGAACGCUGGCGGCAGGCCUAACACAUGCAAGUCGAGCGGUAGCACAGAGAGCUUGCUCUCGGGUGACGAGCGGCGGACGGGUGAGUAAUGUCUGGGAAACUGCCUGAUGGAGGGGGAUAACUACUGGAAACGGUAGCUAAUACCGCAUAAUGUCGCAAGACCAAAGUGGGGGACCUUCGGGCCUCAUGCCAUCAGAUGUGCCCAGAUGGGAUUAGCUAGUAGGUGGGGUAACGGCUCACCUAGGCGACGAUCCCUAGCUGGUCUGAGAGGAUGACCAGCCACACUGGAACUGAGACACGGUCCAGACUCCUACGGGAGGCAGCAGUGGGGAAUAUUGCACAAUGGGCGCAAGCCUGAUGCAGCCAUGCCGCGUGUGUGAAGAAGGCCUUCGGGUUGUAAAGCACUUUCAGCGGGGAGGAAGGCGGUAAGGUUAAUAACCUUGUCGAUUGACGUUACCCGCAGAAGAAGCACCGGCUAACUCCGUGCCAGCAGCCGCGGUAAUACGGAGGGUGCAAGCGUUAAUCGGAAUUACUGGGCGUAAAGCGCACGCAGGCGGUCUGUCAAGUCGGAUGUGAAAUCCCCGGGCUCAACCUGGGAACUGCAUUCGAAACUGGCAGGCUAGAGUCUUGUAGAGGGGGGUAGAAUUCCAGGUGUAGCGGUGAAAUGCGUAGAGAUCUGGAGGAAUACCGGUGGCGAAGGCGGCCCCCUGGACAAAGACUGACGCUCAGGUGCGAAAGCGUGGGGAGCAAACAGGAUUAGAUACCCUGGUAGUCCACGCCGUAAACGAUGUCGAUUUGGAGGUUGUGCCCUUGAGGCGUGGCUUCCGGAGCUAACGCGUUAAAUCGACCGCCUGGGGAGUACGGCCGCAAGGUUAAAACUCAAAUGAAUUGACGGGGGCCCGCACAAGCGGUGGAGCAUGUGGUUUAAUUCGAUGCAACGCGAAGAACCUUACCUGGUCUUGACAUCCACAGAACUUUCCAGAGAUGGAUUGGUGCCUUCGGGAACUGUGAGACAGGUGCUGCAUGGCUGUCGUCAGCUCGUGUUGUGAAAUGUUGGGUUAAGUCCCGCAACGAGCGCAACCCUUAUCCUUUGUUGCCAGCGGUUCGGCCGGGAACUCAAAGGAGACUGCCAGUGAUAAACUGGAGGAAGGUGGGGAUGACGUCAAGUCAUCAUGGCCCUUACGACCAGGGCUACACACGUGCUACAAUGGCAUAUACAAAGAGAAGCGACCUCGCGAGAGCAAGCGGACCUCAUAAAGUAUGUCGUAGUCCGGAUUGGAGUCUGCAACUCGACUCCAUGAAGUCGGAAUCGCUAGUAAUCGUAGAUCAGAAUGCUACGGUGAAUACGUUCCCGGGCCUUGUACACACCGCCCGUCACACCAUGGGAGUGGGUUGCAAAAGAAGUAGGUAGCUUAACCUUCGGGAGGGCGCUUACCACUUUGUGAUUCAUGACUGGGGUGAAGUCGUAACAAGGUAACCGUAGGGGAACCUGCGGUUGGAUCACCU